This 253-nucleotide ribosomal RNA is filed under the name uncultured bacterium. Its description in RNAcentral is "partial 16S ribosomal RNA". It matches the Rfam family "Bacterial small subunit ribosomal RNA", at positions 524 to 776 of the family's 1533-position model. The record is from RNAcentral.
UACGUAGGGUGCGAGCGUUAAUCGGAAUUACUGGGCGUAAAGCGUGCGCAGGCGGUUUUGUAAGCCCGAUGUGAAAUCCCCGGGCUUAACCUGGGAAUGGCAUUUGGGACUGCAAGGCUGGAGUGCGGCAGAGGAGACUGGAAUUCCUGGUGUAGCAGUGAAAUGCGUAGAUAUCAGGAGGAAUACCGAUGGCGAAGGCAGGUCUCUGGGCUGACACUGACGCUCAUGCACGAAAGCGUGGGGAGCAAACAGG